Selaginella moellendorffii is the source of this 1084-nucleotide long non-coding RNA. RefSeq lists it as uncharacterized. Lineage: Eukaryota; Viridiplantae; Streptophyta; Lycopodiopsida; Selaginellales; Selaginellaceae. The transcript has 4 exons. The record is from RefSeq and is a predicted model, not a curated record.
UUCAUACCUCCCCUCGCGGCAUUUGGUGCAAAGGAACCGAACUCAUCAACAAGGAUGAAAUUCCAACAGCUGGAGAAAAAGGACAAAGAUCUAAUACUCGUAGGUGUUCCCGAGUGGUCACCGAAAAGAGAAGCUUCGUGCGUCUUGAGCUAAAGAAACGCCAUCCAGAUCUAUCUCAGGAGGCACCUCAAGAAUCGCCAAUUUUCCUGUACGGCGUUGUUUCCCAAUUCCUCGUCCAUCCAGCUCCACCACCUUGCUAGAUUCUCUUGUGCACUCUCUCGGAUUUUUGCAUGUGAGUGUGGUGACCACACUGGCGAGCGUGUUGUUUGGAGGCGAAUUUGGGAAGCCAGCGAUUGGUUACAUUUAUGAAGCACACGACAAAGCUCGAAGAACCGGGAACAGGUUCUUGCUUGUACACUUGAAAAGUUUAUACUCUGCGUGUUUUAUGUGUCAGGGAGAGCGACUUUUAUCCGAGAUUACUUGAGCAAAACACCAGAGUGAGAUGAUGGGCGAACGUCAGUUUCGAUCGACAGAGAUAGAUCCUCAUCCUUCGCUCCAUUCAAGCACAGCACAGCACAGCCGCAGCAGCGAUCGAUCCAGUGUCGCAUUAGGACGCGACUUAUAACGUCUUGCUCGUAAGCACAAAAGAGAAGUAUAUAUGUUUGUUUCCUCUUGCUUCUUCUGAUCCUCCUUCCUGUGUCGCGGCGUUGCUUUUGUUUUUUUCUUUGAUAGCCACAGGGAAGAUAAAACGAAGAACAAAGGAGAUGCUGCAAAAAUUCCCCCCGCAAAGCUGUGCGCGAAAGCUUCUCUCACAUGGAUGACGUUGUCUGGUUGUUCCACACGCUUGGACGCAAUCAAUCAAUCAAUCAAUCAACCAGUCCAUCAAUCUUCUUUCCAUUCCAUUCCAAGCAAUCAGAGAAUUCCACUGCGCCAACUUUUCCAACCUAAUUGUUUCAUGGGCUUGGUUACGUCUGCUUUUGAGAAGGCGGUGCACUGAUCAAAUCGAAGAAGCCCCUGUAUGUAAAGAUUCCCUUUUUCCAGAAUCUUGCCCCACCACCUAUUAAGACCUAAUGAAGUUGACGUU